UACAGAGGUCCCGAGCGUUGUUCGGAUUCAUUGGGCGUAAAGGGUGCGUAGGCGGCGGGGUAAGUUUGAUGUGAAAUCCCGGGGCUCAACCCUGGAAUUGCAUUGAAUACUACCUUGCUAGAGUACCGUAGAGGAAACUGGAAUUUACGGUGUAGCAGUGAAAUGCGUAGAGAUCGUAAGGAAGACCAGUGGCGAAGGCGAGUUUCUGGACGGUAACUGACGCUGAGGCACGAAGGCCAGGGGAGCAAACGGG
Molecule: ribosomal RNA, 253 nt
Filed under: uncultured bacterium
Lineage: Bacteria
Description: partial 16S ribosomal RNA
Rfam family: Bacterial small subunit ribosomal RNA
Source: RNAcentral